Molecule: ribosomal RNA, 492 nt
Filed under: uncultured bacterium
Lineage: Bacteria
Description: partial 16S ribosomal RNA
Rfam family: Bacterial small subunit ribosomal RNA
Source: RNAcentral
GACGAACGCUGGCGGCGUGCUUAACACAUGCAAGUCGAACGGAAAGGCCCCCACUUUUUUGGUGGGGGUGCUCGAGUGGCGAACGGGUGAGUAACACGUGGGUGAUCUGCCCUGUACUUCGGGAUAAGCUUGGGAAACUGGGUCUAAUACCGGAUAGGACCAUGGUUUAGUGUCUCAUGGUGGAAAAAUUAUUGUUUUGGUGCAGGAUGAGCUCGCGGCCUAUCAGCUUGUUGGUGGGGUAAUGGCCUACCAAGGCGUCGGCGGGUAGCCGGCGUGAGAGGGUGGACGGCCACAUUGGGACUGAGAUACGGCACAGACUCCUACGGGAGGCAGCAGUGGGGAAUAUUGCACAAUGGGCGCAAGCCUGAUGCAGCGAAGCCGCGUGGGGGAUGACGGCCUUCGGGUUGUAAACUCCUUUCGUUAGGGACGAAGCCGCACCUUUUUUGGGUGUGGUGACGGUAACUUUGUUAAGAAGCACCGGCUAACUACGUG